RNAcentral lists this ribosomal RNA (466 nucleotides) under uncultured bacterium. Its description in RNAcentral is "partial 16S ribosomal RNA". It matches the Rfam family "Bacterial small subunit ribosomal RNA", at positions 28 to 507 of the family's 1533-position model. The record is from RNAcentral.
GACGAACGCUGGCGGCGUGCUUAACACAUGCAAGUCGAACGGUAAGGCUCCAGCUUGCUGGGGUACACGAGUGGCGAACGGGUGAGUAACACGUGGGUGACCUGCUCUGCACUUCGGGAUAAGCCUGGGAAACUGGGUCUAAUACCGGAUAGGACCAUGGUGUGGAUACUGUGGUGGAAAGUUUUUUCGGUGUGGGAUGGGCCCGCGGCCUAUCAGCUUGUUGGUGGGGUAAUGGCCUACCAAGGCGGCGACGGGUAGCCGGCCUGAGAGGGUGGACGGCCACAUUGGGACUGAGACACGGCCCAGACUCCUACGGGAGGCAGCAGUGGGGAAUAUUGCACAAUGGGCGGAAGCCUGAUGCAGCGACGCCGCGUGGGGGAUGACGGCCUUCGGGUUGUAAACUCCUUUCACCAUCGACGAAGGGUUUCUGACGGUAGAUGGAGAAGAAGCACCGGCUAACUACGUG